Myotis davidii is the source of this 451-nucleotide long non-coding RNA. RefSeq lists it as uncharacterized. The transcript is spliced from 2 exons. The record is from RefSeq and is a predicted model, not a curated record. Lineage: Eukaryota; Metazoa; Chordata; Mammalia; Chiroptera; Vespertilionidae.
CAUCCCGGUCCCACCAACCAGCCCCACCUGUCAUUGCCAAUGGCCAGGGUGCAGAGCACCUGCCACAAGUCUCUGGCCACACCAGCCCUUCCCGCGUCCCCUCUCCUUCCCCUCACACACCAUGAACCCCUUCUGUGAAGGGCGUCCCAAAGGGGCAGGGGGGACAGGGACAAGGCCUGGGAGCCAGGGAGAGUGGCUCCUGCGAGGCUGAACAGGCCCUCGUGCAGGUGGACCGGCUCAUCAUCUGCGUGUUUCUAGAGAAGGACGAGAACAUCUACCUGCAGCGGCUCCCGCACUACUUCCCCCUGGACUCGCCGGGGCCUGGGCCUGCUGGACCUCGCUCCCAGCUCUAAGAGGCAGCUGAAGCCGGCAGCUGGGCCUGGCCACCCCAUCUUUUCCCUCAGCCCCCCGCCCUUCAGGAGCCUCCUAAUAAAGGCCGCCCUGUUGCAGC